GGAGGUGUAAGCUCAGUGGUAGAGCUCUGCCUAGCUUGCGGGAGGCCCUGGGUUAGAUCCCCAACACAACUU
RNAcentral lists this transfer RNA (72 nucleotides) under Marmota monax (woodchuck). Its description in RNAcentral is "tRNA.Ala". The record is from RNAcentral. Lineage: Eukaryota; Metazoa; Chordata; Mammalia; Rodentia; Sciuridae.